CGUCCAACCUCCCCCCGGGGCAAGGGCCGGAGACCCGCGGAGCAUCCAACUGGAGCUGAAAUUCGCGAGACUGAGCCCGAGGCUGCUUCGGGGGGGCCCGGGGCGGGCGGGCUCGGCACCUGCCAAAGGUGUCUUGCCUGCUGGCAGAUUCACCUAGAGAAGGCGGCGAGGGCGCCCGGGAAGCGGGAGGCGGCUCCGCAGCUCGGCGGCUGAGCACUCCUGCUGGCCUCCCCGGCCCGCUCGAGUUCUGGGGGCGUUUGGUUCUUGCGCUCCCCAGCCCCGGGACGCCGGCCUGGCUGGCGGUUGGUCUGGCUGGCCAGACGCCCGCUCGGCGAGGGGCAGCACCAGCCUCGGGAGCGCGCGCUCUCCGGACCAGGUCUCCCCAAGCCCAUCACGGCAACCCGGUCUCCGCUCUGCUCGCCCUUCAGACUCCAGAUGCAGCAGACCUGUUGCAUGUAGAAAAGUGGCGGGGUUCGGCGUUCCAGGCUUUCCUUCCCGGCUUUGCCCACCACCAGAUCUGAGCCCACCCCAGGAGUCCCGGGACACAGCCUGUUCCGAAGGAGAAAAUGAGGGGAGUGCCAGGAGUCGCCUGGGUGGAUAAUCAUCCCAGGGCAAGGGGCUCUUUCUACACGCCGCGAUGGCCGCAGAUAAUUACACAGUUCCGGGAAGGGAAGGGAGAGGCUCAGGGGAUGACGCCCGGGAGGGACUCCGGUCAGCCGAAAAAGCACUUCUUUGGCAGACACGUCCUAGCCUCGCCCUUACCCCGGGCAAAGGGCUCCUGCUCUUCGGAUCCCCACCUCGGAGGCCAGGAGCCGGCAGCUGGAGGUCCCCGAGUCCCUCCACGGUAAAUCCGAGGCUCCAGCUUCAGCACCAGAGGCUGGACAGCGCCCGGACCCGCCGGCACCCCGACUCCGCUUGCCCUAAAUUCCUCAACCCCCACGCGGUGGAGGCCAGGAGGCAGAGUUCGCCGAGGGCGGGGUGGGGUGGGGGACACACUCAUCCUCCCCCUUUCUCCGGGAGCGUAGGUGUCGGAUUCUAGGAGGACACUCUAUCUCCCCUUCUCUAAGACCAAUAGGAAUAACUUGGUGCAAAGUGCCCGAGGGUGCCAGAGAGAAGAGGCGCGCCUGGAAAAGUCAAGGUUUAUGGUGAAGCAGCUACCUUUCAACCAUGGCAACACUUCCCACUCUCUCCCCCGACCUCUUCACUGAGAAAAACAUAUUUGUUCUUCAUGGAUGAAUGCCAGGAAGCCAGGGGAAUUGUCCAAAGGUGUCUCUGGUACAGAAAGCAUUUCUCCUUGGCUUGCCCGUGGUUCCUCCCUCCCUAAACAACAUCCAUCAUGAGAGGGGAACUGAAUUCUAGAUCACCUCCUCUUCAGACUUCUCCCCACAGACCACAUAGUGCAGUGACAACAAUCUGGGUGGAUGAAGAUGAUGACACUCCAGUUGAGUGUAGAAGCAGAUACAGCACUUCCCAAGAGGGUUUGUGGCAGUAAGCUGUAUGCCCAGCCUGGGACGGGAACCCAUGAUCCCAAGAUCAAGAGUUGCAUGCUCCACGGACUGAGCCAGCCAGGCGCCCCUCUAUUUGCAUCUUCACCCAACCGAGAAAGUGCCCAGAGUUAAAAAAAAAUUAAGAAAACUGGAGCUAUGUCCAUUUCUAUUGGUCCUGCCAGGAAAAAAUUAAUGAAAACGGAUCUAUUGUAGUCACACCCCAUGAUCAAACUCUGUCUCUGAAUUCUGCCUCUUUGCUAACGAGUUUCAUGAGCCCAUCUCUGCAGUAGGCACUGGAAUAUAAUAAUGAACAAAAAAAAGCCGUGUGCUCUCAUGGUGAGGGGCUAACAGCUAGAAGGCGUUGGGCCUCAGCCGGGCACUUCCCGUCUUCUCGAAGUCCCCACUCUGUGUCUCGCAGCAAGCACUGCCCCACUCUGGAUGAAGAUAACAAACCAAAGGUUGGAAAGCUGGGCUACAGAGAGAGAGUUCUCAAUCAAAAAGAGAAAGAAUUAAAAGCAGCACCAAUAGGGAAGGGUAAUUAUCCUUCAGCUGCUGCAGAAAUAAAAUUAGGGCCGUGCUCUGAGCCACCGGGAUAUUGUGGCUUUUGGCAAUUAAGAAGCAGAUAUGUCCUGCCAGUGCAAUUAAGGGCUGGGCUAGACAGGGGCAGCCUUGCCUCUCCUCCAUCAGUGACCUGGGCUGGGGAAGUGGGGAGCCAGGCACUGGGGCUCCAGGGAAGGGGACGCUGCGGGGGCUGAGAGGCCACUACUGGUUCCCUUAUUCAUCUCCUUUCUCUUCUGCUUGCUCCCGCACCCUCACCCCCAACUUCAUUCUGGACUCUGGCUCAGUAAACACUGGGAGGAUUUUCA
Long non-coding RNA from Canis lupus familiaris (dog), 2353 nucleotides. RefSeq lists it as uncharacterized. NCBI's taxonomy places the organism in Eukaryota, Metazoa, Chordata, Mammalia, Carnivora, Canidae. The record is from RefSeq and is a predicted model, not a curated record. The transcript is spliced from 5 exons.